Nyctereutes procyonoides (raccoon dog) is the source of this 1275-nucleotide long non-coding RNA. RefSeq lists it as uncharacterized. The transcript is spliced from 5 exons. The record is from RefSeq and is a predicted model, not a curated record. Lineage: Eukaryota; Metazoa; Chordata; Mammalia; Carnivora; Canidae.
CGCGCGCUGCGGGGCCGGCCGGGCCCCCGCCUGGCUCGGGACUCCCGGCUCUCCGGCUCUCCGGCUCUCCGGCUCUCCGGCUCUCCGGCUCUUCGGCUCCCCGGCUCCCCGGCUCCCCGGCCCUCCCGCUCUCCGGCUGCCGGCUACGCGCCGCCCCGGGAGCCGCCACCGCCGGAGGGAGGGCCGAGGCCCGAGCAGCCUCGAGGUGGCUCCCCGGAGCCCGCGGAGGACCGCGAGCCGGGAAGGUGAAUGCAGGCGGGCCCCGGCUCGAGGCUGCACCUGCCCGGGUCUCCCCUAAACUGUCCGGCCCAGUAGGCCUGGGAAAUCAUCUACUGGAUGCUAGGAGUAAACGAACUUCUGCCUUCUCAGAACUAAUUGUCUGGUGGAGAUGUAACAAGUCAACAGACGAUCCAGCCUGUCACAGUUGAUAACAGAGUUUCAUGCAUACUCUUAAAACAUCUAACCCUCCUUCUACACAUCAAAUUCUGGCUUUGGAAUUUGAAUCUUGAGCACAGGAACAUAAGAUGGAAAAUCUAUCCUGAAGCUUUCUAAAAGGACCACCCAUUAACUCCUGCUGCCUGGAUUCCUCAGGUACCUGAAUUCCUCUUCUUUCAGGGACCUGCCAGGUCAGAUCCUAUAUAUUCUGUGAGCUUUCUUAUAUCAUUCCAAUAAGAUUUUUUUAAGGAUCAGUUUCUGUUUCUGGCACCCUGAGAACCCUGACUUGUACAGAAAGAUUCCCAGAAAAUGUGGGAUAUGAGCUGACAUAUACAACUGGAAGGGAUGGGACAUAUUCCAUGCAUGGAGGACAUUAUCGGCAAAGCCUCUCAAGAACUCUGCUUGGCCUGGUUCAAGGGCAGACUCCAGGAGAGGAGAUACUGGUUUAUGGGCAUGCACUUGCUUCUGAGAGCUGUCUGCACUCAGUGUGUUGAGGAAACAGUUUCUGAGCCUGCAAGAUUGAGAGUUUUGCUAAAUUCAGCAAGGCUGUUCAAGUAGAAAGCCAGUGUACUCUGAAUAAUGCCUUUUCAAAUGGAGGAAGAAUUGAAUUCUAGAAUCGCAUACUCCUGGAACAGUUGGAGAUGGCAGUUUGCUGAGUAUGAUUUUUGCAAGAAGAUUCUGUAACGAAAUGUUGGCCUCAGGACACCUGGGUGGCUCAACGGUUGAGCAUCUGCCUUCGGCUCAGGGUGUGAUCCCAGGAUCAGGGAUCGAGUCCCACAUCGGGCUCCCUGCGGGCAGCCUGCUUCUCCCUCUGCCUAUGUCUCUGCCUCUCUCUCUGUG